RNAcentral lists this ribosomal RNA (254 nucleotides) under uncultured bacterium. RNAcentral's name for it is "partial 16S ribosomal RNA". It matches the Rfam family "Bacterial small subunit ribosomal RNA", at positions 524 to 776 of the family's 1533-position model. The record is from RNAcentral.
UACGUAGGGUGCAAGCGUUGUCCGGAAUUAUUGGGCGUAAAGAGCUCGUAGGCGGUUUGUUGCGUCGGCUGUGAAAUCCCGAGGCUCAACCUCGGGUCUGCAGUCGAUACGAGCAAACUAGAGUGUUGCAGGGGAGACUGGAAUUCCUGGUGUAGCGGUGAAAUGCAUAGAUACCAUCAAGAACACCGAUUGCGAAGGCAGCUUACUAAGCUGUAACUGACGCUGAGGCUGCGAAAGCGAGGGGAGCAAACAGG